Molecule: long non-coding RNA, 324 nt
Filed under: Phaseolus vulgaris (common bean)
Lineage: Eukaryota; Viridiplantae; Streptophyta; Magnoliopsida; Fabales; Fabaceae
Description: long non-coding RNA (PVUL_LNC000180)
Source: RNAcentral
AGAGGCCCAAGCACAAGCCCACAUGCAAGCCCACCAAAGGGUAGAUUUGGGCCAACCAUAGAGUUAUGGCCAAGAGGAUCCAAGAAGACGUUCUUUUACAUGUUCAAAUGCCAUAAACUCUAGUGUAGAGUAGACUUUAAUUUCUUGUCAAAAUUAGCAUAGGAACUUUAUUUGUAAUUUUCUUAGAAUUAAUUUUUGCACCUAAAACACCAACCUAGGUAAACUUAGAGUUUCUAAAAAAACCUCUAAAUUUACCAAGGCCGAUCUAGAAAGCCCAUGGAGGGGGUGAGCAUAAAAACUAGACACACCCCUCCCCAUGUGCUC